Long non-coding RNA from Dermacentor silvarum, 2088 nucleotides. RefSeq lists it as uncharacterized. The transcript has 3 exons. The record is from RefSeq and is a predicted model, not a curated record. Lineage: Eukaryota; Metazoa; Arthropoda; Arachnida; Ixodida; Ixodidae.
UUUUUCUUUAAGAGGAAGGAAGCUUUAGGCAAUUGGGCCCAACUCCGAUGCGUGCUGCCUAUACAAAUACAUGUAAAAUGCACAAACGCUUUUCUGAGAUAACCACUGGGAUGAUUUUAAUGAAAUUUGUUGCACUUGAGAGAGAAAGUUAAAUUCUAGUGACUGUUGUAAGUGGAAUGUUAAUUUAGGGCCCGAAAUUUUUCAAAAGUAACUUUCAAAAAUUGGUGGGUUUGAACAAAGAUGGAAGCACGAGGUGUACAAAUUUGUAGGUCUGCAUUAAGAACAGAUAUGGCACUUCUGUAAACUGCAUCCGUUAGAGCAUCCAAAGUGGACAAAUUUGAUACAUCAAUUUACAUCUUACGUGAAUUAGUUACAUUGUUUACAAGUGUUUUGCAAAAGUCCAACUAACAUAUUAGUGCUCUAUUUGAGAGCCAUGUAUAAUACAUUAAUUUUGUCCGCUUUAGAUGCGCCAGCAUAUGCAAUUUACAGAAUUGUGAUAUCCUUUUUCAUUGCUGAGUUACAGAGUUGUAAACUUGACAGUGUGGCUUUCUGAAAAUUAGCCGAUUUUCUACAAUUUUUAUAAAAAAACUUGACGGCCUAAAUUAAGCAUUCGCUACCAACAGUGACUAUAUUUUAAGUUCUUCUUUUAAAUGCCACAAACCCCAUCAAAUUUGGAGCAGUGGUUGCCGAGAAAAACGAUUUCUCCUAGCUUUCCCAUGUAUUCAGAUAGGAGCCCCCGUGCUAAAGCUACCAAUGCUCGUAAAUCGGAGGGGCCAAAGAAACUGAAACAAAAUAUUGUUUGUGGUGAGUACUUUCUAAAUAUCAUAUGCUUUAAAUUGUUAUAUAUGAGAAACUAAACAGAUAUAUGUUCGAACUUUGUUGAGUUUUGCAAAGUCCACAUUCAAACUCUUCCAGAUGGCGCCACAACGGCUCGCCAAACGCGCGCGGUGCGAAUACGAAAGUUCGUCAACGGUGAGAUACGAGCGCGGGAAACUGCUGCCUGUGGGCAAGCUGGUGCCGGCUUGACAGCUCAACGUUUUCCGUUUGUGCUUACGAGGCGGCGUUACUUGACAGAAGAUAAUAAUACUUUGAUGCUCUUCUCACGCCUACAAAUGAGGGCGACGUGAUAAACAGCACAGCACGCGAAAGGGUACGUGAACGCCAACGAACGGCGUGCCGCCAACAACUGCAUGGGCUGUCACUUCAGUGUAUUCUUCCCGCCUUUGGAAGAAGCAUUUUGGACUAAAGCUACCUUGAUAUGUACAAAACAUGGGAGACUACGUGCAGGAUUAUGAAUGGCUACCUGAACGCUGCUUGAAGCAGCGAGCUCUACAGCACCACUCAUGCCCCUUUCCAUGGGUUGGCAAGAGGAGCAGUGGCACACAACUCUACAGGCACUUGUGCUUUUUAUCAUCUUUGGAGGAGAUGUAUUGGGUGCUCCAUACCAUGCACUGCCAUUUCAAUACACCAAGGCUUUUCGUGUGGAUUGCUUCCCUUUUCAAGGCCACCACUGCUUGCACAGCAUCAUCAGCCUACCUUCCUUGAUCUUCAUGUUCCAUUGGCAGAAGAAAAUACAAAAUGCCUACUCUGAAAUACAUGCUUGGCUCCAUGCAGCACUCCCUGCCGUCAGGGUGCUAGAACUUUGUGCAGAGAAAAUGUUCGUAAUGAUGCUAUAUGUGUACAGCCUUAGUGGUAAAGUGUUGCCCGCUUCGCCUAUGAGAGAAUUUCACACUUAUGGGGACUGUUAAAGGUUCAUGUGUUAAAUGUUUGACAUCCUAUAGAAAUUUUCAUGUUUCAGUAUAAAAGCAAAAUUAUAGUUGAAUUGCUGCUUUUUGUGAUAUGCAAUAUACAGCUGAAGGUGAUUAGCAGUGGUGAAACAGGUGUUGUAUGAGGUGGUAAAUUGUUUUCAACAGGGGGAGUUGUCUUUGCUAGGGCAACAACUUUUUUCCUUGGCAGCAUUUAUAUAGUUCACUUUUCCCCACUCCAUAGACAUCUAGGAGAAUAAGCAGGGUUGCAUAGAGUAGGGUGAGGUAAGUUGAAAUGCUCAACAUGAUGGUUUAGUUGGGAAGGUAAGGUGUGUGGAAGAAA